Molecule: long non-coding RNA, 1468 nt
Organism: Ceratina calcarata
Lineage: Eukaryota; Metazoa; Arthropoda; Insecta; Hymenoptera; Apidae
Exons: 2
Source: RefSeq, a predicted model, not a curated record
UACAUAGCUUCGUUAACAGCUCAAUAAUUAUUUACCAAUAAUUUUUAAUCCUGAGGCUUAUCAUCUUUUUUUUCACGAGCUUCGUCGCGGUCUGCCAAUCCUUUCUCUUCCACGAAAUAAUUUUUCGCGUUCCGUAGCAACAAAUACUUAACAUUGUUAUAUUUUUUAUAAUUUUGAGCUUUAUCAUUUUCCUUGUAAAAUUUGUCAAGUGUUCUCCGCGAUGCUUCUAAUUAAUGAAUUAUCGGGUAAGUUGUCAUUCGAGUACAUCCUAUAUUAUACUGGCUGUUAAAUAUUAAAUUACUCAGUAUACAAAAUAUUCGAUGUGCUUCGAACCGUAUUGAAAAGUUUUCGUGUGGAUGAACACGAAACUUGAAACCAACCUGCACGUUCCACAAAUUCACAAAAAAUGGAGAUAAAAAAUUCUGGAUUUUUGAAGAGGUGUUUCGGAAAUUCAACGCUGCCACGAGCCAUAACUUUCGUAUCGUGCACGUAACGUCGUAACGUAAUUCAUGUGUUACUUGAACGAGGUAACAUAUUUCUAUGCUUUCCAUAAACUUUAAUAUUAUAGUUUACUCUCGGUCAUUUCGCGAGAAUUUCAUCAAGUGGUAUUAUAACAGUGUUAUAUGACUUCAUCUACAAAUAUUGACAGCAUCGUAGUUUACAAAGUAUUAUAGAAUACUAUGUUAUUUGAGACAAUUAUAACAGCCAAAUUGUGUUAUUUUAUCCCACACCUGCCGAUUGUAAUCCCAUAGCGACUACGAAUACGCAACUAGAACGUUCAACAGCAUAAAAACCAAUACUAUAGCUAUGCCUCGGUCGACAGAUGGUCUGACUCUAAUACAAGAUCCACACGAUUUAUUCGUUGAUCCGCAUACCAGCUAGAAAACAACGAGGCCGUUCAGCUGUUUAUUUGCGAAAUACGAUCCGCAGCAAACUAUGCGGUUAAUGAAACGAUCGAGGCAGGUUGAAAAAUCUGUGGAUCGUGGAGGGCAUCCACGCGAACGAAGAAAUUGGAGAGUGAAACGUGGACGGUCCAUGCGCGCGAUGGAUUGAAAGCGGGAAGCAAGGCAAGAGGUGAGCCAGACUAUCCCGUGGUCUGGUACCGUCAUCUCAAGGCGAAGGUGAUCGGUUACCUCAGCUGCUGCCGCAGCUGACAAACCUUCUGCCGUUGCCAGUUUCGUCGUGAAUAUCCACCGGUGGAUACAUACUUACUUUCUGGACGACAGGUGCUUGCAAUAUGCUCAAGCGACAGCCGGCGUUCGUCACAAUUCCUUCGCGUAGCAACAAAUUCAAUCGAAUCGGACGAUUUUUAUCUGGAUCUGGACGAGGGGGUUGAGCGUUGACCCCUUCAGGUGACCACGUGUCGAGUAUGCAUUAUAUGUAUACAACUGCUCAAUGUUCAUUAUUCUGUCUCCAGAGUAUUUAAACGAUUUAAUUACUGAGUAUAAUAAAUGUUAACGUUAUUCAA